GUUGUUUUGCUGUCUUUUGGAAGAAAAAAAAAUAUAUGAGAAACAGAAAAACAAAAAUUUCUUUCCCCUAAAUCUUCAGAUUCAAUUUCCGUUUUCUUAAUCUUUUUUUUUUUUGAUUGUUCGAUUGUACCUUCGAUUAGCAAAUAAAGGAAGAGAUCUUAGUAAUUUACACUUAAACGAAGAGAGCCAUGAAUCCAACUGAACUACGAAAAGAACCGAAGUAAUCGGUUCCAAUCCAAAUCAAAAAAAUUCGCGUUCCACAGAUUGGAGAUGAUAAGGCAAGGUAGCCGAUUGUCCUUAAAAGUCUAACAAAUCAAGUGAUAAUCACAAUCACAAAGAUAAGCAACACCUUAUUUCUCUGAAAUAUUUCUGAUUUUUCUGUUUUUGAUAUUGUUUACUAACAUUUGUUUUCUUUCAUAGGUGAGGAAUAAUUCUCGAAUAUUAAAGUUGUCUUUGUUGAUCUGGCAUGAGUCAUCUGUUUGACAUAAGAUGAUCACAAAAA
Arabidopsis lyrata subsp. lyrata is the source of this 502-nucleotide long non-coding RNA. RefSeq lists it as uncharacterized. Lineage: Eukaryota; Viridiplantae; Streptophyta; Magnoliopsida; Brassicales; Brassicaceae. The transcript has 2 exons. The record is from RefSeq and is a predicted model, not a curated record.